This 484-nucleotide ribosomal RNA is filed under the name uncultured bacterium. Its description in RNAcentral is "partial 16S ribosomal RNA". It matches the Rfam family "Bacterial small subunit ribosomal RNA", at positions 28 to 507 of the family's 1533-position model. The record is from RNAcentral.
AUUGAACGCUGGCGGCAUGCUUUACACAUGCAAGUCGAACGGCAGCGCGGGCUUCGGCCUGGCGGCGAGUGGCGAACGGGUGAGUAAUGCAUCGGAACGUGCCCAGUAGUGGGGGAUAGCCCGGCGAAAGCCGGAUUAAUACUGCAUACGACCUGAGGGUGAAAGCGGGGGACCGAAAGGCCUCGCGCUAUUGGAGGGGCCGACGUCGGAUUGGCUAGUUGGUGGGGUAAAGGGUUACCAAGGCGACGAUCCGUAGCUGGUCUGAGAGGACGACCGGCCACACUGGGACUGAGACACGGCCCAGACUCCUACGGGAGGCAGCAGUGGGGAAUUUUGGACAAUGGGGGCAACCCUGAUCCAGCCAUGCCGCGUGCGAGAAGAAGGCCUUCGGGUUGUAAACCGCUUUUGUUCGGGAAGAAAUCCUCUGGGCUAAUACCCCGGGGGGAUGACGGUACCGGAAGAAUAAGCACCGGCUAACUACGUG